UUUUACCAGGAAGCAGCCUUAAAAUAAAUUGCCAUCCUGGGGGCAGCCCAGAGCAAGAUUCAUUUGAAAUAUAUUCUGCGUAUAAGAGCACACUCCCAAUCAAUAUUUGGCAAGAAAAGCAUUUCUUAUAAACAAAGUUUUAAUUAUUAUUAAGUGCAUUGAAACUAAGCACUAAAAUGAAUGUUACUUUCUCAUGGGAAAAUUUCUUUAGUUUUCUCUAAAAUACCAUUUUUUUUAAAAGGGAAUUUAAUAAAAGUCUUUUCCAAUAAGCCUUUUGAUUUUCAGGAUUAGAUCACAGAAUUCUAGCAAAAUAGAAGACGUAUCCUUUUGCUAGACAGAAAACUACUCACUAUAAAAUGACAUGACCUCUAAGGAUGACUUAAAUGAAUCUUCUUACCUUAGUUUAAUUAAGUCGGCCCUUCAUUUUCUCCCAAGCGCAUAAUGAUAGCUCUGUCACUUCCCUGCAUGAGAUGCCAUUAUGUGGAUGGAGGGAAA
This 495-nucleotide long non-coding RNA is filed under the name Bos taurus (domestic cattle). RNAcentral's name for it is "long non-coding RNA NONBTAT011752". The record is from RNAcentral. Lineage: Eukaryota; Metazoa; Chordata; Mammalia; Artiodactyla; Bovidae.